AACGACGCUGGCGGCGCGCCUAACACAUGCAAGUCGAGCGAGAAAGUCCCUUCGGGGGCGAGUAAAGCGGCGGACGGGUGAGUAAUACAUGGAUAAUCUUCCCUCGAGCCUGGGAUAACCCUGCGAAAGUGGGGCUAAUACCGGAUAAGACCACAUGACACAUGUCACGGGGUAGAAGGUGGCUUGUAUUUAUAUGAGCUAUCACUUGAGGAUGAGUCCAUGGCCUAUCAGCUAGUUGGUGAGGUAAGAGCUUACCAAGGCUAUGACGGGUAGCUGGUCUGAGAGGACGACUAGCCACACUGGGACUGAGACACGGCCCAGACUCCUACGGGAGGCAGCAGUGGGGAAUAUUGGGCAAUGGGCGAAAGCCUGACCCAGCGACGCCGCGUGGGUGAUGAAGGCCUUCGGGUUGUAAACUGCUUUUCCACGGGAAGAACCCUCCGACGUGUCGGAGACCGACGGUACCGUGGGAAUAAGCAUCGGCUAACUCCGUG
RNAcentral lists this ribosomal RNA (494 nucleotides) under uncultured bacterium. RNAcentral describes it as "bacterial SSU rRNA". It matches the Rfam family "Bacterial small subunit ribosomal RNA", at positions 33 to 507 of the family's 1533-position model. The record is from RNAcentral.